GUGGUUGAAUAGUUCACAUCAAAACAAAAUCUCAUCUGUAUGACAGAAACUCUGUUGUGUUGGGCUUUGAACAUAAUCCAAGAUACUCAAGACAGUAGCAAAAUUAGGCAUUUGGAAAAAUCAGAGUAAGAAAGGCAUUUUUCAUGCUUAUUUGCUUCAAAGGAUGCUCUGAUUUUGUUAAUUGCCUGAAAGAGUGCUUCGAUUUGCUAUUUUCUACAAACAGUAUUCUAAUCUAGUUUAUCCUCUGAGUUGCAGCUGUGUUCAAGUAUCCUAAUAGGUUUGGUGCAUGCUGAACUAUUCUUCUGCAAUUAAUUCACUUGGUUCUUCAUGUGAAAUGAUUUACACCUAUUUAGAAUUAAAUUGGAAGCCAUUCCACUCUUGCUUAUGAAGUUAUUAAGACAGCUUUUAGAUGACAUUAAUUUGCACUUAGUACCUUUUAUCUAAGGAUCUCAAAGCACUCUA
RNAcentral lists this long non-coding RNA (462 nucleotides) under Homo sapiens (human). Its description in RNAcentral is "HSALNT0008852". The record is from RNAcentral. Lineage: Eukaryota; Metazoa; Chordata; Mammalia; Primates; Hominidae.